Long non-coding RNA from Alligator sinensis (Chinese alligator), 962 nucleotides. RefSeq lists it as uncharacterized. The record is from RefSeq and is a predicted model, not a curated record. The transcript has 3 exons. Lineage: Eukaryota; Metazoa; Chordata; Crocodylia; Alligatoridae.
GAGAGAAGAAACUGGUGUUGGGUGCACCUGUAGAGUUGGGGUCUAAGGGGUGGGUUCAGGAAGGCUCCAGAGAUGAGUGAGAGAGUGGCUUGGGGAAGUAGUGAGGUGGAAAGCAGCAAUGACUGGCAAGGUUCUGUUGCACCUGCUUUAGAUGGUCACAGCCCGAUAACAUCUAUUUCCUCAAACUAAGCCAAUCAUCAGACCUCUUGCUUUAAAAAUACAUGAUAGAUUCUGUUCUGGGUCUGGUGCUGCUGAGCAGUUUUACUAAUGGCUUAGAUUCAGGGCUAGAGAGCUUCCUGAUCACUGCUACAGAUCACACAAAACUGGGAGGCAUUGCAAACAUGGAGGAGGAUUGGAGUAAAACUUCACACAAGUCAGGAAUGUGAUGCAGCUGCAAAACAACAACAACAACAAACCCCAAAAAACCAAAUGCAGUUUGGCCUGCAUUGUAAGAAGGAUGUAGAGAAACCAGAGAGGAUCCAAAGCAAGGCCAAUUGGAAGAGGCACCUGGAAAUCAGGGGAGUCCAGUAACAUUUCUCAGCUCCAUGAUACUUGGUUAAUGCUUGUGCUUUCAGCUGCCUUAAUUUUUUAGAGCUGCAGAGAAGGUACAUCAUAAGGAAUUAGCAGGCUGGGUCAGGCACAUGAUCCAUCUUAUCCAGGAUCCCAUCGCUCACAGGAGCCAAAGUUAGGGAAAAAUGGAAAAAAUUUAGAAUGAACUAGAGGUUCAGACUACGGGACAAAAAUGGUGUAGGAGGGCCUGCAGACAUGUGAGCGUGUGUAUGGCGGAAGAGGGACUGGCUGGGAUUCCUCAGCAUCCUUCAUUGAAAUCUGUAACUGGCCAGCUAGGAGAUAAGCAGAGCAGACCAGGCUUGAUGGUGACUGAAAGCAAAACCUGGCCAACCUCUGUAAGUAUAUUUGUAAAUAAGAGGGAACUGUUUAACUAUUUCCUAUUUCCUGUUGAA